This 427-nucleotide long non-coding RNA is filed under the name Oryza sativa aus subgroup. RNAcentral's name for it is "lncRNA OsNaBo_05g0000710". Lineage: Eukaryota; Viridiplantae; Streptophyta; Magnoliopsida; Poales; Poaceae. The record is from RNAcentral.
ACGCGGUCGCCAGCGACGAGCUCCGACGCGACCGCCCCUGACGAGCCCCCGGCAUCACGGACACCGGCGACGAGCUUCAGCGUGGCCCCGGCGUGGGGAGCGACGGCGGAGGAUGCGGCCGACAGUGACGUGGUCAUCGGAUUGCUGCCUACAGCUCCAGCACCGCCGCCCACCAUCCACGGCGCCGCUGUUAACACUCACCUCCAGCUCCAUCCGCGUGGCCGGCCGGUGCACCCUCCGCUAGCGCCCCAACUCCAUCGCGAGCCCUCUCCAAUCGCCGCCUUCGUCACCGGCCGUCGAUCCCGCUGCGAGUCCGGGCCUUCAUCCUAUCCAUCUGCUGCUUCGGGGGAGCAAAGAGACAAGACGGGGUGCAAAGAGCUUGUUGACCUGGUCAUGGUUGGCUAUGGAGUGUGGUAGAAUUAUCUUC